AGAAUCAACGCUGGCGGCGUGCCUAACACAUGCAAGUCGAACGAGAAAGUGGAGCAAUCCACAAGUAAAGUGGCGCACGGGUGAGUAACACGUGACUAACCUACCCUUGAGUGGGGGAUAACCUAGAGAAUCUGGGCUAAUACCGCAUAAUACCUUCGGGUCAAAGGAGCAAUUCGCUUAAGGAGGGGUCGCGGCCGAUUAGUUAGUUGGCGGGGUAAUGGCCCACCAAGACUAUGAUCGGUA
RNAcentral lists this ribosomal RNA (243 nucleotides) under uncultured bacterium. Its description in RNAcentral is "partial small subunit ribosomal RNA". It matches the Rfam family "Bacterial small subunit ribosomal RNA", at positions 26 to 285 of the family's 1533-position model. The record is from RNAcentral.